Molecule: small nuclear RNA, 102 nt
Organism: Vulpes vulpes (red fox)
Lineage: Eukaryota; Metazoa; Chordata; Mammalia; Carnivora; Canidae
Source: Ensembl
GGACCAUGUGGUACAUGUACUAAAAUUGGAACGAUGCAGAGAAGAUUAGCAUGGCCCUUGCUCAAGGAUGACCUGCAAAUCUAUGAAAUACUAAAAAAUAUA